RNAcentral lists this ribosomal RNA (2932 nucleotides) under Enterobacter cloacae. RNAcentral describes it as "bacterial LSU rRNA". It matches the Rfam family "Bacterial large subunit ribosomal RNA". The record is from RNAcentral. RNAcentral also lists the same sequence under 1 other name. Lineage: Bacteria; Pseudomonadati; Pseudomonadota; Gammaproteobacteria; Enterobacterales; Enterobacteriaceae.
GGGUUGUGAGGUUAAGCGACUAAGCGUACACGGUGGAUGCCCUGGCAGUCAGAGGCGAUGAAGGACGUGCUAAUCUGCGAAAAGCGACGGCGAGGUGAUAUGAACCUUUGACCCGUCGAUGUCCGAAUGGGGAAACCCAGUGUGUUUCGACACACUAUCGUUAACUGAAUACAUAGGUUAACGAGGCGAACCGGGGGAACUGAAACAUCUAAGUACCCCGAGGAAAAGAAAUCAACCGAGAUUCCCCCAGUAGCGGCGAGCGAACGGGGAGCAGCCCGGAGUCUGAAUCAGCUUGUGUGUUAGUGGAACGGUCUGGAAAGUCCGACGGUACAGGGUGAUAGUCCCGUACACGAAAAUGCACAUGCUGUGAACUCGAAGAGUAGGGCGGGACACGUGGUAUCCUGUCUGAAUAUGGGGGGACCAUCCUCCAAGGCUAAAUACUCCUGACUGACCGAUAGUGAACCAGUACCGUGAGGGAAAGGCGAAAAGAACCCCGGCGAGGGGAGUGAAAAAGAACCUGAAACCGUGUACGUACAAGCAGUGGGAGCACCUUCGGGUGUGACUGCGUACCUUUUGUAUAAUGGGUCAGCGACUUAUAUUCUGUAGCAAGGUUAACCGUAUAGGGGAGCCGAAGGGAAACCGAGUCUUAACUGGGCGUUAAGUUGCAGGGUAUAGACCCGAAACCCGGUGAUCUAGCCAUGGGCAGGUUGAAGGUUGGGUAACACUAACUGGAGGACCGAACCGACUAAUGUUGAAAAAUUAGCGGAUGACCUGUGGCUGGGGGUGAAAGGCCAAUCAAACCGGGAGAUAGCUGGUUCUCCCCGAAAGCUAUUUAGGUAGCGCCUCGUGAAUUCAUCUUCGGGGGUAGAGCACUGUUUCGGCUAGGGGGCCAUCCCGGCUUACCAACCCGAUGCAAACUACGAAUACCGAAGAAUGUUAUCACGGGAGACACACGGCGGGUGCUAACGUCCGUCGUGAAGAGGGAAACAACCCAGACCGCCAGCUAAGGUCCCAAAGUCAUGGUUAAGUGGGAAACGAUGUGGGAAGGCACAGACAGCCAGGAUGUUGGCUUAGAAGCAGCCAUCAUUUAAAGAAAGCGUAAUAGCUCACUGGUCGAGUCGGCCUGCGCGGAAGAUGUAACGGGGCUAAACCAUGCACCGAAGCUGCGGCAGCGACGCUUAUGCGUUGUUGGGUAGGGGAGCGUUCUGUAAGCCGUUGAAGGUGUGCUGUGAGGCAUGCUGGAGGUAUCAGAAGUGCGAAUGCUGACAUAAGUAACGAUAAAGCGGGUGAAAAGCCCGCUCGCCGGAAGACCAAGGGUUCCUGUCCAACGUUAAUCGGGGCAGGGUGAGUCGACCCCUAAGGCGAGGCCGAAAGGCGUAGUCGAUGGGAAACAGGUUAAUAUUCCUGUACUUGGUGUUACUGCGAAGGGGGGACGGAGAAGGCUAUGUCAGCCGGGCGACGGUUGUCCCGGUUUAAGCAUGUAGGCGGAGGUUCCAGGUAAAUCCGGUACCUUAUUAACGCUGAGGUGUGAUGACGAGGCACUACGGUGCUGAAGUGAUAAAUGCCCUGCUUCCAGGAAAAGCCUCUAAGCAUCAGGUAACACGAAAUCGUACCCCAAACCGACACAGGUGGUCAGGUAGAGAAUACCAAGGCGCUUGAGAGAACUCGGGUGAAGGAACUAGGCAAAAUGGUGCCGUAACUUCGGGAGAAGGCACGCUGAUAUGUAGGUGAAGCCCAUGCGGGCGGAGCUGAAAUCAGUCGAAGAUACCAGCUGGCUGCAACUGUUUAUUAAAAACACAGCACUGUGCAAACACGAAAGUGGACGUAUACGGUGUGACGCCUGCCCGGUGCCGGAAGGUUAAUUGAUGGGGUUAGCGGCAACGCGAAGCUCUUGAUCGAAGCCCCGGUAAACGGCGGCCGUAACUAUAACGGUCCUAAGGUAGCGAAAUUCCUUGUCGGGUAAGUUCCGACCUGCACGAAUGGCGUAAUGAUGGCCAGGCUGUCUCCACCCGAGACUCAGUGAAAUUGAACUCGCUGUGAAGAUGCAGUGUACCCGCGGCAAGACGGAAAGACCCCGUGAACCUUUACUAUAGCUUGACACUGAACACUGGUCCUUGAUGUGUAGGAUAGGUGGGAGGCUUUGAAGCGUGGACGCCAGUCUGCGUGGAGCCAUCCUUGAAAUACCACCCUUUAAUGGCUGGUGUUCUAACGUAGACCCGUGAUCCGGGUUGCGGACAGUGUCUGGUGGGUAGUUUGACUGGGGCGGUCUCCUCCCAAAGAGUAACGGAGGAGCACGAAGGUUGGCUAAUCCUGGUCGGACAUCAGGAGGUUAGUGCAAUGGCAUAAGCCAGCUUGACUGCGAGCGUGACGGCGCGAGCAGGUGCGAAAGCAGGUCAUAGUGAUCCGGUGGUUCUGAAUGGAAGGGCCAUCGCUCAACGGAUAAAAGGUACUCCGGGGAUAACAGGCUGAUACCGCCCAAGAGUUCAUAUCGACGGCGGUGUUUGGCACCUCGAUGUCGGCUCAUCACAUCCUGGGGCUGAAGUAGGUCCCAAGGGUAUGGCUGUUCGCCAUUUAAAGUGGUACGCGAGCUGGGUUUAGAACGUCGUGAGACAGUUCGGUCCCUAUCUGCCGUGGGCGCUGGAGAAUUGAGGGGGGCUGCUCCUAGUACGAGAGGACCGGAGUGGACGCAUCACUGGUGUUCGGGUUGUCAUGCCAAUGGCACUGCCCGGUAGCUAAAUGCGGAAGAGAUAAGUGCUGAAAGCAUCUAAGCACGAAACUUGCCCCGAGAUGAGUUCUCCCUGAGACCUUGAGUCUCCUGAAGGAACGUUGAAGACGACGACGUUGAUAGGUCGGGUGUGUAAGCGCAGCGAUGCGUUGAGCUAACCGAUACUAAUGAACCGUGAGGCUUAACCUUACAACGCCGAAGGUGUUU